This 71-nucleotide transfer RNA is filed under the name Dactylellina haptotyla CBS 200.50. Its description in RNAcentral is "tRNA-Gly (GCC) (tRNA-Gly-GCC-1 1 to 3)". It matches the Rfam family "tRNA". From Rfam's summary of the family: Transfer RNA (tRNA) molecules are approximately 80 nucleotides in length. Their secondary structure includes four short double-helical elements and three loops (D, anti-codon, and T loops). Lineage: Eukaryota; Fungi; Ascomycota; Orbiliomycetes; Orbiliales; Orbiliaceae. The record is from RNAcentral.
GCGUUUGUGGUUUAGUGGUAAAAUUGAUCGUUGCCAUCGAUCAGCCCCGGGUUCGAUUCCCGGCGGACGCA